GCCAGGGAACUACGAGCAAAGCUUAAAACCCAAAGGACUUGACGGUGCCCAUAUCCCACUAGAGGAGCCUGUCCUAUAAUCGAUGAUCCCCGUUUAACCUCACCUCUCCUAGCUUAUCAGCCUGUAUAUUUCCGUCGUAAACUAACCACAUGAAUGAAAUUCAGUUAUGUUCCAAGACCUAAGAACCCCAAAAAGACACCCGUCAACACGUCAGGUCAAAAUGCAGCAAAUGGGAAGGAAAGAGAUUGGCUACACUUUUUAAUAUAAAAGAAAACGAAAGACAAUAAUGAAACUUUGUCAGAAGGUGGAUUUAGCAGUAAAAAGAAUUCAUAAUAUUCAUUUGAAUUUGGCACUGGAGCGUGU
This 363-nucleotide ribosomal RNA is filed under the name Eleutherodactylus antillensis. RNAcentral describes it as "partial 12S ribosomal RNA". It matches the Rfam family "Bacterial small subunit ribosomal RNA", at positions 871 to 1384 of the family's 1533-position model. The record is from RNAcentral. Lineage: Eukaryota; Metazoa; Chordata; Amphibia; Anura; Eleutherodactylidae.